Molecule: unclassified non-coding RNA, 2845 nt
Filed under: Haliotis rubra (blacklip abalone)
Lineage: Eukaryota; Metazoa; Mollusca; Gastropoda; Lepetellida; Haliotidae
Description: uncharacterized LOC124263041, transcript variant X3
Source: RNAcentral
UUGGUUCAUCAACACUAACUUGUAGAUCUCGUGCUUCGUGGUUUUGCUGUUCGUCGGCAAGUGGUACAAAUUCGCUGCCAAGACUUACCAUCUCGGGCACCUGGUAGCCCUGACGUCACCGUGACGUCACGCAUACCACCAACAUGGCGUCAUGAAUGAAAUCGGAAAUACGAGGCAGGUCCAUUCAUAGUUAGCUCGCCUCGCGGACAGGAUUAGGUUUUACUGGCUUGGGCUGUAGUCAGCACAUCGAAACACGAUGAUGAGGACUGAGAGGAGCCCCCUGCACCCCUCAGCACGUGAGAGUCCGCCAGUCUGCUAUCUCCACACCACCUACUAAUCAAUUAUGGGUGCUACAACAAGCAAGAGAAGGAAAACCAAAAAAAGAAGGAAAGAUGGGGGUGACCUUGACCUUGACACUUCACCAUAUCAGGACCUUGAACGUUUGAGGACAUUGUCAAAAAACCCGACUCAACCGACUCUCGGCUGAAAUGGACCGCCUGUCAGUCCCCACAAGUCAGUAUUACUCCAGUGAUUCCCUGCUUAUCCCAGACACACAGAGAAGCACGAUGUCUCUGAACAGGAAUCUCAUUGGACAUCCAACAUAUCAUGUGAAGGGGUCAUUCAGUGCAGACAAUCUGAUCCUAGAUGACCAUCCUGUCCUUACCAAACUUCAAAAUGAACAGAAUGCUCGACUGGAGCACAUGGAACAGAGAAUUACGAAGAUCCGUACCAACGCCAUGCAGGCAGCAGAACGGAGGAAGUAUGCUCACAUGUUCCGUGCGAAAUCAGAUGACUCAAGAACUGCCAAGCUUCUAAAAGAAGCGAGUGAGGCUCUUGAGGCUUUAAAACGUGAGAAGAAAUCUCAAAUGACACUCAGUGAGGAAUAUGACAAGGGGGAGAUAAUCCCUGUGAGAAUUUUGUGUGAAGAGCAGCAGAGGCAGAAGGAAGAAUCCAAACCAGCUAAAAAAGUAUCAAAAAAGGAAGAACUGUGGCCGGCUCAACUGCAAGCCUUGAACUUUGGUGAACCGGUCACAUGGCUUCUGCUGCCAUUUCUUCUUCCCCUUCUGCUCGUCCUCUACCUCAUCAGAUCAGUUGGUAACCAAGGCAAUGACAGACAAAAGAAGAGACAAUGAUGACUACUUAAGAUGAAGACUUUGUGCCUCAUAACAACCUUAAGACAACUUAACCCUCACAUCAACACGACUCAGUUAAGUUCCUCUGUGACAUGGAAUUUAUACAUUCACAGCAGUCAAUGUCAGACCUUCCACGGAUAUUUCGAAGAUGGUGGAAAACUCAUACGCCAAGUUUUUAAUUCCUUUGGAGACAAACCUUAUGUGAUUCACAGCUCUGCAGCCCUGGUGCUUCAUUACUUGAAGGUGGAUGUGUUUAGUCAUAUCUUCGCACACAUCGCUAUGGAAUCCAUGCCAACAUUGUACAACCACGCUCUGUUCUUUCAAAGCAUGAAACAUCCCAACAGGUGCACUCCAAACCCAGGAUAGGCUUCUCAAAGGAAGGAAUAUGUUGAACAUAUUGAAGGAAUAUUGUAUUCAUACUGUCUACAGUAAUGCUGAUUUCCAGGAUAUAUCGUAGGAUUCAGCAGCUUUUUGUGUCUGAAUCACAUGAUGAAAAGAACAUCAUCCUAAUUAGGCCCUUACCUUACACCGAGGAAAGAAAUAUCAACAAAUAUUUAAAUUGGAAUAACAUAGGAAUAAUAGUUUAGUUUCAACAUGUUUCUAUCUUUUAUAUGAUGAUUCUACUCAUGGUGUUGUCACCAAUUUGAAAUCGAACAAUAACAAAUUUGUAGUGCCCGACUACAGAAUGGUCACAUGACUUCUUGGAAGGUUAUACUUAAUCCUGCAGGUGCUUUCAGUUCUUGAAAACCUGACAAGAGAUCCCACACCCAUACACCACUGACAUCUUGGAUGACGACGAAUUUGCAUUUGAGACAAAACCAUGGUAAUAUGAAUAUUUUCACAGUUCAUGUUUAAUUUCCUGGGUAUGAUGUGUAUUGAAGAGUGUGCAUGAGAUGGAGAGUUGUGAACUAGGAGACUCCCUGCUGAUUGUUGUAAUGACGAUUGGCAGAUUCACCAUACACUGAUGUUCAAAUAAUUGAUAUUAACAAAUCAAGAGGAAUUACGUCCAGCUAUUCUUCUUGUGACUACUUUUGAAACAUUUGUAAACAGUGGUAGAGUUUAGUGGCUGCUGAGGUCCCUGAUUGUGUGUUGGAUACACUAAAUGUUUACUUUUAAAAUGAAUGUUAUGACAACAAUCCUGUCUUUCAUGGUAACUUAUGUCAGUCUGUUUCGGACUAUUUUUUCGGAAGAUUUUUGUGUCUUCAUACCUCUACUUGUAACGAAUAAAUGCAGAUUUUCAGAAAAGGAUUCUCAGGAUUGUGAAACUCUAGUCUUUGUAUCAGAGUAUGGUGACUGAUUGCUGAAGCGUCAUCCCAACUGCGUGCCUAUCUACACCUGACGAUCAACUGACAUAAUACCUGAUUUGUGAUACUCCAUACAUGACAUGACACCAGUACCUUCGGAGCACAUAUCCACAAUCAGUAUGCUUCAAUGGAUAUGGAAGAUUGACAAUCUUGCUCUGAAAUCACUUGGUCAUGUUCAUGCUGUUAUCCACGUAUGUGGAGAAGAUUAUUUACCAUUGGAUAUUUGGUCCUGAUCAUACAAUAUGAUGUUUGUUGUGGUAAUUGUUAUGAUAUUUGUGAUGAUACAGUGCAUGUCAUGGUGCAGUGCUUGUCAUGAUAAAAUUCAUGUCAUGGUGCAGUGCUUGCCAUGAUACAUGCUUGUCACGACACAGUGACAUUCAUUAUAAUCAGCAAGUUGGGAACUUGGUA